UGGCUUUAACUCUGAUCGGUCGCCCACCAUAAUUGUGAAAUAUCAGCUUCCCCAGUCUCUUAUCGAAAUAAGAUCCCUUUAAUGAAGCUCCACUUCAUAUAAACUUCAAGAUCACGUCGAUUGCGACAUUAUGUCUGCUUCUUCUUGAAUCAAUUUGAAAAGUUGUGAGAUGCUAGAAAGAAAAGCUACUAAUGAGCAUAGUUUGAAUUUUUGCCGUUGAUUUGGAGUCAUGUAGAGCAUCUUGGAGUUUGGAGACUAAGGUGAGCUCCUGGCGUUUGGAGUUACUAGGUUCCUUAUGUUUUGGUUAAACUUAGUCUUUAUACUUUUUCAGAGAUUGCCCAGACUAAUUUUGUAUUUGUAAGAAGUUUGUAAUCUUAUUUUGAUUAGAUGCUCGAUUAAUGAUUGAUGUCAAGUCUUGGGGAUGGUUUCUGGUAUUGCAUUAAGUUGAUUACCCUUUCGUCGCUUUGUUU
Molecule: long non-coding RNA, 470 nt
Organism: Solanum stenotomum
Lineage: Eukaryota; Viridiplantae; Streptophyta; Magnoliopsida; Solanales; Solanaceae
Exons: 3
Source: RefSeq, a predicted model, not a curated record